RNAcentral lists this ribosomal RNA (470 nucleotides) under uncultured bacterium. RNAcentral describes it as "partial 16S ribosomal RNA". It matches the Rfam family "Bacterial small subunit ribosomal RNA", at positions 28 to 507 of the family's 1533-position model. The record is from RNAcentral.
GACGAACGCUGGCGGCGUGCUUAACACAUGCAAGUCGAACGAGAUCCAAUGUGUAGCAAUACACAGGAAGAUCUAGUGGCGAACGGGUGAGGAACACGUGAGAAACGUACCCCAGACUUUGGGAUAACAGUCCGAAAGGACUGCUAAUACCAAAUAACGUCGGAGGUCCGCAUGGACAUCUGACGAAAGGGAUUCCGGUUUGGGAGCGUCUCGCGGACCUAUCAGCUAGUUGGAGGGGUAACGGCCCACCAAGGCAACAACGGGUAGCUGGUCUGAGAGGAUGGUCAGCCACACUGGGACUGAGACACGGCCCAGACUCCUACGGGAGGCAGCAGUGGGGAAUCUUGCGCAAUGGGCGAAAGCCUGACGCAGCAACGCCGCGUGCGGGAAGAAGGCUUUCGGGCUGUAAACCGCUUUCAGUAGGAACGAAACUGACGGUACCUACAGAAGAAGGAGCGGCCAACUAUGUG